This is a non-coding RNA of Elaeis guineensis (African oil palm), 2696 nucleotides long. The record is from RefSeq and is a predicted model, not a curated record. Lineage: Eukaryota; Viridiplantae; Streptophyta; Magnoliopsida; Arecales; Arecaceae.
GCGUGAGAGACGCCGUUGUGCAGCGACGGAAAAGGAGGAGGGAAUAAAAGGAGGCGAGGGGGGCCGCAGUCCUUCCCCUGGUGCUCCUCCGGAGAUAUAUCGAUCCAUCUCUCUCUCUCUCAGGUAAAUUUCCGCGAAUUCCAGCCAAACUGCGCUGCAUUCCAUCCCCUCGGCUCUCUUCUUCGCUCUCCUAGAUCUCUUUCUCUCUCUUUCUCUCUCUCUCUCUCUCGAUCGAGCUAGGGUUUGUGAGAGAUCUGUCUUUGUUUUGUUUGAGAUCUCCUUGACAAAGCCGAAUUCCGUGGAGUUCUGGGCAUUUGGGUUUGAAUUCGACAGAAGUCUUCGAGUUGGAGGUGGAGCUUUCUCGCCUAGUGGAGCUCCGUGGUAUUGUAUACUAUUCGAUAGAGCGGAUCGCUUCCACUGUUUUCCACGGCGGAGGCUCGAGAUUGGAUCCGGAGGCCUUCUAACGGAAGGGGUUCAAGAUUAUUUGUUCUUGGAAUAGAUUUGCGUAAGGAUCGGAGGAUCUAUCGUGCCGAAACUGUGGGAGAAUUUUGUGGUUAAUUUGCGUGGCUAACUAUUUGAAAAGAUCAAUAACAAUCGAAGAGUGUAGUGUGGCGACGUACGGGGAUGGAGCUUCAAGGUAAGAAAGCAACUUACGAUUUCCUUUCGCUUUACAACAAGGAUUCGUCUUUCCCGCACCCAGAUCCAAGGCCUCCUUCCCAAGGCUUUUUUCUAACGACGCACGACUUCUUAAAGCCGCUGGAGCGGGCUGACAAGGGCCACCGACACGAGGCGGCGAGCGGCGAUGCCGCCGUCGGCCGUGUGGGCAGUGCGGCCUCGGUAGAGCAUGUUCUACCGGGCGGCAUCGGGACGUACAGCGUCAGCCACGUGUCGGAUCCCGUCCCCCUGGCCAUGGUGAAGCCGGAGCGCGGCACGUGCCGAGGCGUCGACGUCGAACGGAAACCCGAGGCCUAUUACGACAACGGCGUCAGUUACGGCUCCCCCUUCCCCGCUGCCGUCCCGGUCACGCUGUGGGACGAGUCCGCCGCGAAAGACCCCUGGUCCAGAGGGCAGUGGCCGUCUCCAUUCACCGCACGCGGCAGCGGCGGCUUCGGAACGCUCUCCGACUCCAGGAAUCACCCGGCGCUGGAGAAGAAGCGAUUGAUGGAGUCAGCGUCGAGAUCCAGCAAGGGCUUCGACGAGGAGGAGGAGGAGGAGGAGGAGGAGGAGUCCGGCAGAAGGGAGGGCUCCUCCUCGCAUAAAGAGUUGACCGUGAAAGUAGAUGGGAAGAACAGGGGUGACAAUGAUCAGAAGCCCGGCACCCCAAGAUCAAAGCAUUCUGCCACUGAGCAGCGGAGAAGGAGCAAAAUAAAUGACAGAAUGGACCAUGGAUCUGUCAUCAGAUUUCAGAUACUUAGGGAACUCAUACCACAUACCGAUCAGAAGAGAGAUAAAGCAUCAUUCCUUCUGGAGGUUAUUGAGUACAUCCGGUUUUUACAAGAGAAAGUUCAGAAGUAUGAGUCCUCGUACUUGGGAUGGAAUCAAGACAAUGCAAACUUAAUGCCAUGGGUAAAAGUCUAUUUUAGAUCAUUCUGGAAAAAUGCACGGAAUAAUAACCAGUCUACUGGGGAUGGUGUCUCGGAUCCCUCUCAAGUUAUCAGAAAUGGUUCUGCUUCCCCUGGAUAUAUGUUUUCUGGGAAUGACAAUAGCAUCCCAGUUGCACCAGCAAUGCUCUCAACUGCACAGACUCUGACUGAAUCAGAUAUGGCUGCUGGAGUCUCUCACAGAGCAGUGGAAACUCCUGCAAAUUUUGCAAAUGCAGAUAACAUGACAACCCUGGCCCAGCCACGAUGGUUAAGAUCAUCUGGUCAGCUUGACCAUGCUGUCAGUCAUGAGAUUUUGAAUGAACAAGAAGAGCUGACAAUCAAUGAAGGAACAAUAAGUGUGUCCAGCGCCUACUCCCAAGCGCUGUUGACUACACUAGCUCAGGUGCUACAGAGCUCUGGUAUAGAUCUGUCUCAAGCCAGUAUUUCUGUACAGAUCAACCUUGGCAAGCGAGCAAUUAAUAAGAGACUUGCUGCCACUUCCAAUGCCAAGGACCAUGAAGACCCUGCAUCUACUAAUCAAGCAAUGGGACACUCUACGUUGGGAAGCAAUGCCAAGCAAUCCUUGCAAACACGAAAAAGGAGAAAAACAAACAACAGCUAGUGCUAUCAUACUCGGUUUUAUAUUUAACUUUGUCAUGCCGCUGAACUCCUCAGAUGAAUGUAUAUUCUGUUUUGUUUGGCUUUUACUGCUCUUGGUGGACAGACAAAAUCUAUGGGGUAUUCUUUCAUUGGUGACUACUUUCCAAAAGAGGCUUCCAUUACAAAUUGUGAAGCUGCUUUUGUUACAGGCUUCCAUGCAUGAGAAGUUUUGUUCUGUCAAGGACUCCUGUUGUAAGAUCAGUAGAUGCAGCUCAAUUUAUGUGGAAUGUGCUUGAAUAUUUUUCGCAAUUUGUUCCUGCAGUUUUGUUGUGUUUGACAUCCAUGCAGAAGAGUUGAUUUUUAUAUAAUGCUCUAUUGGUAGUAAGUUGGACAUUUGUCCUUUUAAGGUCUCUUUCACAAGCAUUUUGUCGUCUAUGUAGAUUGGACAUGGAACCCUGUUCUUCGUUCUAUAUAAUACCUUAAGGGCUGCUCAGGAACUCAGGGCAUCUCUGA